CAUCUUUGUCUGGAACACUGUCUAAGAGAUUAAGAGAGAGAAAAGAGAGGAUAUUGACCAAUCCGUGUGUCCUUCCAAAAUCUGAUGGCAUUUAGAAUGGUUUGAAUGAUUUAACAAUGUUUCUCCAAUUUGUGAAAGCAUUGCUGGGAAGCCUAGAUCUUGUUGAAGCAUAUCCACUACUGGAGCAGUAUAAAGAUUUGAGAACUUCAAGAAUGCUGAUUAUGAUCACCAUUUAACAAUCUCCAUCCACAUUUAGCUAUUAAGACUAUGUUAAGUUCUUUGAGAUUAAUUGAGAGUACCCAAAACCCCUUGCUCGCUAUCCUGCAUACUAUAUUCCAGUUCACUAAUGAAGCAAAUGGGGAGCAUGAUUGAGUGUCCUCCAAAGAAAAGAUCUUCUUGGCUUAUCUAGCGUAGCAAUUGACCAGCU
RNAcentral lists this long non-coding RNA (427 nucleotides) under Elaeis guineensis (African oil palm). RNAcentral describes it as "long non-coding RNA (EGUI_LNC006224)". Lineage: Eukaryota; Viridiplantae; Streptophyta; Magnoliopsida; Arecales; Arecaceae. The record is from RNAcentral.